GAUCCGCCGAGGCAACAAAUGUAUGUUCACACGGUUUGGGAGUUUCAACCUGCGUAAUGAUCCUGUCCGUAGGGUGAACCUGCGGAGGGAUCAUUACCGAGUUUACAACUCCCAAACCCCUGUGAACAUACCACUUGUUGCCUCGGCGGAUCAGCCCGCUCCCGGUAAAACGGGACGGCCCGCCAGAGGACCCCUAAACUCUGUUUCUAUAUGUAACUUCUGAGUAAAACCAUAAAUAAAUCAAAACUUUCAACAACGGAUCUCUUGGUUCUGGCAUCGAUGAAGAACGCAGCAAAAUGCGAUAAGUAAUGUGAAUUGCAGAAUUCAGUGAAUCAUCGAAUCUUUGAACGCACAUUGCGCCCGCCAGUAUUCUGGCGGGCAUGCCUGUUCGAGCGUCAUUUCAACCCUCAAGCACAGCUUGGUGUUGGGACUCGCGUUAAUUCGCGUUCCUCAAAUUGAUUGGCGGUCACGUCGAGCUUCCAUAGCGUAGUAGUAAAACCCUCGUUACUGGUAAUCGUCGCGGCCACGCCGUUAAACCCUCAACUUCAUGAAUGUUGACCUCGGAUCAGGGGAGGGACGC
This 580-nucleotide ribosomal RNA is filed under the name Fusarium oxysporum. RNAcentral describes it as "eukaryotic LSU rRNA". The stretch from base 245 to 398 matches the Rfam family "5.8S ribosomal RNA". The record is from RNAcentral. Lineage: Eukaryota; Fungi; Ascomycota; Sordariomycetes; Hypocreales; Nectriaceae.